Molecule: unclassified non-coding RNA, 716 nt
Filed under: uncultured cyanobacterium
Lineage: Bacteria; Bacillati; Cyanobacteriota
Description: partial contains 16S ribosomal RNA, 16S-23S ribosomal RNA intergenic spacer, and 23S ribosomal RNA
Rfam family: Bacterial small subunit ribosomal RNA (bases 1-112)
Source: RNAcentral
GAAGUCGUUACUCCAACCCUUGUGGAGGAGGACGCCGAAGGUGGGGCUAAUGACUGGGGUGAAGUCGUAACAAGGUAGCCGUACCGGAAGGUGCGGCUGGAUCACCUCCUAACAGGGAGACAACAAAAUGUAAAUAUUAAUCUUGUCACCUUAGGUCGAUCGGUAUCUCAGAUUCUUAUUUUCUAAGAAUUUCAGUUUCUAAGUUUUUUCUAGGUCACACCCAUCACUUUUUCCUGGGCCAUUAGCUCAGGUGGUUAGAGCGCACCCCUGAUAAGGGUGAGGUCCCUGGUUCAAGUCCAGGAUGGCCCAUAUCUCUAUGUUGGGGGUAUAGCUCAGUUGGUAGAGCGCCUGCUUUGCAAGCAGGAUGUCAGCGGUUCGAGUCCGCUUACCUCCACUGAAUACCACCUCUUACAUAUAGUUGAAGUGGGAAAUUGUUUUGAGUCGUGUCCUAAUUUGCUCUGAGCGAAUCUAGCUUCCUAUUUUAUCCAAGAAAUAAGAUGCUGGACUCAUUGAAUUUUUUUUUCAUUGUUUUCAGAGAACCUUGACAACUGCAUAGAUUAUUUUUAAAGACAAUAAGCAUCUUUAAUGAUGCAGAUUUAUUAUUUGUGCGAAUGCAUUAAAUAACAAUUCUAUUAAGCUGAUGCUUCAAUUAUUGAAGUUAUUGGUCAAGCUACAAAGGGCUCACGGAGGAUACCUAGGCACACAGAGGCGAUGAA